This 164-nucleotide ribosomal RNA is filed under the name uncultured bacterium. Its description in RNAcentral is "partial 16S rRNA". It matches the Rfam family "Bacterial small subunit ribosomal RNA", at positions 355 to 511 of the family's 1533-position model. The record is from RNAcentral.
CAGGGAAUCUUCCACAAUGGGCGAAAGCCUGAUGGAGCAACGCCGCGUGUGUGAUGAAGGGUUUCGGCUCGUAAAACACUGUUGUAAGAGAAGAAUGACAUUGAGAGUAACUGUUCAAUGUGUGACGGUAUCUUACCAGAAAGGAACGGCUAAAUACGUGCCAC